RNAcentral lists this ribosomal RNA (461 nucleotides) under uncultured bacterium. RNAcentral describes it as "SSU rRNA". It matches the Rfam family "Bacterial small subunit ribosomal RNA", at positions 26 to 518 of the family's 1533-position model. The record is from RNAcentral.
AGAGCGAACGCUGGCGGCAGGCCUAAAACAUGCAAGUCGAACGGACCCUUCGGGGUUAGUGGCGGACGGGUGAGUAACACGUGGGAACGUGCCUUUUGGUUCAGAACAACUCAGGGAAACUUGAGCUAAUACUGGAUAAGCCCUCAUCCUUAAACAGAUGAGUGGGAAAGAUUUAUCGCCAUUGGAGCGGCCCGCGUCUGAUUAGCUAGUUGGUAGGGUAAAGGCCUACCAAGGCUUCGAUCAGUAGCUGGUCUGAGAGGAUGAUCAGCCACACUGGGACUGAGACACGGCCCAGACUCCUACGGGAGGCAGCAGUAGGGAAUCUUGCGCAAUGGGCGAAAGCCUGACGCAGCCAUGCCGCGUGAAUGAUGAAGGUCUUAGGAUUGUAAAAUUCUUUCAGCGGGGACGAUAAUGACGGUACCGCAGAAGAACGCCCGGACUAACUUCGUGCCAGCAGCCGC